This 463-nucleotide ribosomal RNA is filed under the name uncultured bacterium. RNAcentral describes it as "partial 16S ribosomal RNA". It matches the Rfam family "Bacterial small subunit ribosomal RNA", at positions 28 to 507 of the family's 1533-position model. The record is from RNAcentral.
GAUGAACGCUGACAGAAUGCUUAACACAUGCGAGUCUUUGGCGAAGCUGUGCUUGCACAGCCUAGCCAAGGCGGACGGGUGAGUAACGCGUAAGGAACUUGCCCUGCAGUCAGGGAUAACAGACGGAAACGACUGAUAAGACCUGGUAAAGUCAGGCGGACUCAUGUCCAGCCUGAUGAAAAGAGAUGCUGCAGGAGAGCCUUGCGUCCUAUUAGCUUGUUGGUGGGGUAACGGCCCACCAAGGCGAUGAUAGGUAGCCGGCCUGAGAGGGUGGACGGCCAAAAGGGGACUGAGAUACGGCCCUUACUCCUACGGGAGGCAGCAGUGGGGAAUAUUGGACAAUGGGGGCAACCCUGAUCCAGCAAUUCUGUGUGCACGAUGAAGGUUUUCGGAUUGUAAAGUGCUUUCAGCAGGGAAGAAAAAAAUGACGGUACCUGCAGAAGAAGCGACGGCUAAAUACGUG